AUGCAAGUCGAGCGGACAGAUGGGAGCUUGCUCCCUGAUGUUAGCGGCGGACGGGUGAGUAACACGUGGGUAACCUGCCUGUAAGACUGGGAUAACUCCGGGAAACCGGGGCUAAUACCGGAUGGUUGUUUGAACCGCAUGGUUCAAACAUAAAAGGUGGCUUCGGCUACCACUUACAGAUGGACCCGCGGCGCAUUAGCUAGUUGGUGAGGUAACGGCUCACCAAGGCAACGAUGCGUAGCCGACCUGAGAGGGUGAUCGGCCACACUGGGACUGAGACACGGCCCAGACUCCUACGGGAGGCAGCAGUAGGGAAUCUUCCGCAAUGGACGAAAGUCUGACGGAGCAACGCCGCGUGAGUGAUGAAGGUUUUCGGAUCGUAAAGCUCUGUUGUUAGGGAAGAACAAGUACCGUUCGAAUAGGGCGGUACCUUGACGGUACCUAACCAGAAAGCCACGGCUAACUACGUGCCAGCAGCCGCGGUAAUACGUAGGUGGCAAGCGUUGUCCGGAAUUAUUGGGCGUAAAGGGCUCGCAGGCGGUUUCUUAAGUCUGAUGUGAAAGCCCCCGGCUCAACCGGGGAGGGUCAUUGGAAACUGGGGAACUUGAGUGCAGAAGAGGAGAGUGGAAUUCCACGUGUAGCGGUGAAAUGCGUAGAGAUGUGGAGGAACACCAGUGGCGAAGGCGACUCUCUGGUCUGUAACUGACGCUGAGGAGCGAAAGCGUGGGGAGCGAACAGGAUUAGAUACCCUGGUAGUCCACGCCGUAAACGAUGAGUGCUAAGUGUUAGGGGGUUUCCGCCCCUUAGUGCUGCAGCUAACGCAUUAAGCACUCCGCCUGG
RNAcentral lists this ribosomal RNA (840 nucleotides) under Bacillus subtilis. RNAcentral describes it as "bacterial SSU rRNA". It matches the Rfam family "Bacterial small subunit ribosomal RNA", at positions 55 to 876 of the family's 1533-position model. Lineage: Bacteria; Bacillati; Bacillota; Bacilli; Caryophanales; Bacillaceae. The record is from RNAcentral.